GAAAGCUCGAGCGAGGUUGUCGCUGGCCCCCCCCCCGGGGGCAACGUGCACGCCUUUGUCUCUGUCCUUCAUCUUCUCACCCCCCUGUGCACCUCUGCGUGGGUCCCCCUCGGGGGGCUCGCGUCAUAUAUCCAUAACGAACGCAUGUAUCGGAACGUAUCGUUUGCUACAGCAGCAAAAACUUGUACAACUUUCAACAACGGAUCUCUUGGCUCU
This 216-nucleotide unclassified non-coding RNA is filed under the name rhizosphere metagenome. RNAcentral describes it as "partial ribosomal RNA internal transcribed spacer region". The record is from RNAcentral.